Molecule: ribosomal RNA, 206 nt
Filed under: uncultured bacterium
Lineage: Bacteria
Description: partial 16S ribosomal RNA
Rfam family: Bacterial small subunit ribosomal RNA
Source: RNAcentral
CACGCAGGCGGUUUGUUAAGUCAGAUGUGAAAUCCCCGGGCUCAACCUGGGAACUGCAUUUGAAACUGGCAAGCUAGAGUCUCGUAGAGGGGGGUAGAAUUCCAGGUGUAGCGGUGAAAUGCGUAGAGAUCUGGAGGAAUACCGGUGGCGAAGGCGGCCCCCUGGACGAAGACUGACGCUCAGGUGCGAAAGCGUGGGAGCAAACA